RNAcentral lists this long non-coding RNA (8159 nucleotides) under Medicago truncatula (barrel medic). RNAcentral's name for it is "long non-coding RNA (MTRU_LNC002788)". The record is from RNAcentral. Lineage: Eukaryota; Viridiplantae; Streptophyta; Magnoliopsida; Fabales; Fabaceae.
ACUUAAUCCACUUGUUGACAAAACUUGACCAUAAGCACUUGAAUCAUAUCUCUCCAAAGCAUUCUCACCAGCAAGUUCACCACCUGCAAUCUUUGUUGCCAUUCUCACUUGAUUUACCAAUCCUUCUGGUGAACAAUUUGCAUCACAAGGUUGUUCAUUAUCCUUCAUUUCCAUGCAUGUGAAAUUCAAUAUAACUCCAUGUUUUGCUAGCAUUUGUGCUAUUGGUAUAUAACCAUCAUGAAACUUUGUGUUAUAGUAACCUGCAGUUAAUUCAGUUGCAUGUGAUCUUGCAUUGUAAUGCCAAUGAAUUCCAGCUAUUUUGGCAGAUAGUUUCACUCCACUUGUUUGGAAUAUGCUUUUAGCUGAUACAAGAAUUUUCUCACCAUGUUCAACAAGCUUGCUUGAGUACCAAUCAAGGAAGAAAUCUCCAUAUUCUGUGUUCCAUGUUCCUUCUCUUUUGAAAAAUCCAGUAUCCUCAGGAAAUUGAUUGUAUUGUCCUGAGUCAUGGGGUCCACUUGUUCCCCACUCUUUCUUCCCAAUUGCUCCUGCUGUUGCUUCCAAGGAUGAUCUCAUAUACUGUUUGGCAAAUAUGUCAUUUUAGUUUAGUUGUUUUCAAAAGAAAUUGAUUAAGUUACAUAUUCAAACUUUUAUUAAUAUUUAGUUUAUCUUUUUUUUUUUUUUUUUGAGAGAAUGUCUUUGGCAUAUUUGAAAUUAUUAAUAUUAAAAGACAUCUCAAAUGUGACAUAGCAACAAAAUAUCUAGAUACUAAUAUAAUAUUCUCUUUUGUACCAAAAAAAAAUUCUCUGAACUCUGUUUCAAUUAAGAUAUUUUGCAAUCAAAGGUUUAAUUAUUGAGAAAAUCUUGUGUGGUCCAUUUGAGCACAGCAAUUAGACACACACAGAAAAGUUAAAAGGUAGGAAAAGAAAGAAAAUAAAUAAAGUAAAAUAUUUUAAAUGAUUAAAUUAAAUGAUGUAUAAUUUUAUGUGUGUACAAAAAAAUUAUAUUUAGGAUUGUAAUCAACUAAGUAUUUCUCCUGGUUAUAACAAAAUAUGUCUAAUACUAAUAUUAUUUUGGACUAUUUAUUCUAAAAAUUGAUGUCUUUUUAAGUUUGUACCUUGUCAUAGCACUGGAAUUCUCCAAUUCCUGGAAACUUCCAAGUUCCAUCAGUUUCAGGGUAUGAUGGAUAUCUCAACUCCCCACAUGGACCUAGCCCCACUUGAAUUUCCUGCAAAUGAAUUUGUUCUUAAUUAGAAUUUUAUACAUUGCAAUAUAUGCAUCAAGUCAUAGUUUUUCAUCAAUCACAAAAAUAUAAAAAAUAAAAAGUGUCUCUGUCAAAAAGAUGAUAAUCACAAAUGUCUCCAAUAAGUAUUCCUCUUACAACUAACUAUCUUCCUUAAUAUGGAAAAAUUGAAUUAUGAGUCAUACAUGUCUGUUUUCUCCUAUACUAUUUUUAUCAAAAUUAACAUUGAUUAGGUCAUUAUCUAAGAUAUUAUGUUAAGGAUGAUCAUGAAUUUCUACUUCUGAGACCGACGAUAUAUAGCGCCUGUUAAAAUUUUGAACAAAUGUGUGGCUGAAAAUAAAACUAACCACUAUACAAAAAUCUUAGCCAAGUAUCUAAAUUACUCUGUAACCUCAAAAUUGAUGAAGUACUUACUAUGAUAACAUUGCCCAAAUAAUCUGUGAACCUAUCACGGAAGCUUCUCAUAUAAUCGGAGUAGACUUGAAGUGGAGUUCUUCCUGCUAGAACAGGCACUGAAUCACAUCCCAAUGAGAUGUAUUCUGGAUUUCUUCUUCCUAAUUUGUCUGUGUAAACCAACUCAGGGUUCUUCCUGAUUUCUUCUAGCACCCAUGGUGGUAGAGGAAUGCUAUAAAAUGCAAUACAAACCAAAUUAGUCUUUGAUUUUUUUUAUUUUUGGUCUAGUUGAAUAUUUUGUUUAACAAGAGUGAUAGAUAUUUCCAUACCUGCAAGAGUCACCAACAUUUCCACCACAUUGAUGAAAAGACAUAACAAUUUGAAGCUUCAAACCAUGUUUUUGUACCAUCUGAACAAGUUCAGCAUAAGCUUCCCAAUUAUACUUCAUUGGACCAUCUUUUUCGACCAAACCCCACCAAGCAUCAACCAUUACUCCUUCAACACCAGCACUCUUCAAAGCCAUCAAACUAGCAUUCAUUGCUCUUGCUUUAUUCAAUUUUCCUCCCAUUGUUACCGUGUCUAAUGGCAACAUCACAAACACCGGUACUCUAUUCGAAUCACCAUCGUGGUUAUGAGUGACCGAUGACGUGUGAAUCUUCUCCCAUUUCUUGUCUUUCUUUACAGCAGAAUUGUUGUUGUCUGUUGUGAAAUGAGUUUCUUGUAUUGAACUCUUUGCUUUGAGUUUGUGACCAAUAGAUGGUUUCAUUUUUGGACAAGAAACUUUGUUGGAAAAAAAAUCAUCAAGAGAUUUUAAGACUCUUGUUUCUUUCUGAUUAAUCAAGGAAAUUGAAAAACGAAGUGUUUGAGCCAUUUUUAGUGCUAUCUCUGAUUAUGUUUUUUUUACUACUAGUGUGUUAUUUCUGUUUGCAAUUAAAGAUUGGAGGGAGAGAAUAUAUAUAGAACUAAAGAGUUUGUUUAAUUUUUGCAUUAAGUAUUUUAUUUAUUUAUAAAAAAAAAACAUAGUAGAUAUUUUUAGGAAAGUUGAAGUUGAGAACCUUGGUGGGUCCAAGUUGAAAAGUGAAAAUUGUGCAAAAGGAUCAAAAUCUCGUCGGUACCAUGCUUACGUGUUACCAAAACAAAAAACAUGUCGACUAUGGCUUCACUUUUUAACCGUUACCCACUAAAUAAAUAGUUAACUGUCUUGAUAUUUAUAAGGAGAGCCGAGAGGAAAUCAACAACGUUACUAUGUCUUUUUCAAAAAAAGUAAAUUAUGGGGCUUAGCUUAAAUUGAUGGUGUACCCAAUUAAAAAGGAAUCUUUAGGGAUCCCUUGUUCCUCACGGUUGGUUUAUUAUUUCAAAAUAAAUAAAUAAAUAAUAAUCUGAGAUUUUGAAGAAUUGUAAAUAUCCCUUUAAGGUGAGGGAAUUUAAGAAGCAUUAUUAUGUGGCAAAACUUAAAAUUGCAAUCAUCCUUUUUUCCUACGGUUGGUUUGUUGUAUGAGAGGGAACUGCCGUAUCUAGCGACAUAAAAUAAUUAACCAAUACCAAAACAUAGUUUUGUGGAGUUCAUGGAGGUUGAUGGAAAAAAGAUGGCGGUUAACAAUAAAUAUAUACAUCGGGAUUUAUUCAUGAGACUGUGUCUCACUAUAAAUAUCAUUUCCCUAUUUAAAAAUAAAUAAAUAUUGAGAUUUUUAUGGAAGUGUAAGAUCCAAUUAAAAUUAAAUUAGAGUCUAUAGAUCCUUAUCCUACUCACCCAUUGUUUAUAUCCACCCAUUGCAAAAAAACUUUAAACAUCACGUAUAGUAAAGUCUGAAACUAGCAUCAAUAAAUAAUGUCACUUCAACCAAAUUUAUGAUUUUUUUUUAGAGUGACUAUCAAAUUACGAACGGGAAAAACACCAAGGGUCAAAGUUGCUCAAAUAAAAGUGUGUGUGAGUGGGGUAAAAGGUUUCAAAAUUGCACAAUUGUGAUACUUGGAUGUUUAAAAGUGCAAUUGGGUCUACUACUUUUUAUGAUUCAAACAUAAUCAAUCAUUACUAUUCAAUAAUGUUAAUUUUAGUUUUUUUUUUUGGUAUAAUGGAAGCAAUGUGGUUUGAACCUAAGAUCUCAUGCGUGCUACCCAAACUUCUCACCACUGCAUCAAUUCUAGGGGUUUAAUUUUUAGUAUAUUAAUUAAUAGAAUUUUUUAUAUUAACCAAAAAAGGAUCUAAACUAAACCACAUUUGAUUGGGUUUGAUAAGGUUUUUUUUUAUUUUUUUAUUUUUUUUUAUUUUUUUUAAAGCAGACAUCCAAACUUAUAUGUACCCGAUGUGAGUUUCAUCUUUAGAUAGGAUUAUUUUUAGGAAAAUUCUAUGGUACACCUAUACAUUUGAGUGCACCGGUACACCAAAUCGUUAAAUUAAUAAUUAAAUAAGUUGUUUUUUUUUAAAAAGAAUUGUUUUUUUAUCAUUGACAAUUGUAAUAAUUAAAUUGUAUUUACCAAAAGCGUCGAAGAAAUAAAAUUUACUUUUUUUGAAUUUUUAUUACUCAUAACAAAGAAUAUUGAUUAUUUUUUAUGAGAAAAUGUUAAAAAUUUAAUACAAUUUUAAUAAACAAUGAAAUGAUGUUUUUUCUUAUAAAAUGAUGUUUCUAAAAUAUAAAUACUGAUAAAUAACUCUUUAUUUCAUAAAAUGAUCGUUAAAUUAUAAAUUUUUGAACCAGGAGUACCGAUACACCUCACUUUUGUGAGGUGUACCGUAGAAGUUCCCUACAAUUAAACUGAUAUAUUUUAUUGGAAAAAUAACCAUAUAUUUUUGGAAAUAAAUAAAUAAAUAAAACUCUUAUAAAAGAGAUCGUUGUUUACUUUACCACUUUAUGGAAAAUCAGGCCCCUUCUCAUGUGAACUAGAGGAUUAAGACUGGGGUUGUUCGCGGUGAAAAUUGAAUCAAUUUUGAGGUUAAAAAUAAUCCUAAUAAAAUAUAUCAGUUUAAUUAUAAUUAUGGUCCUCAUAAUUUGACUCGCUCGCAGAAUUGACCGUCCUUUUAAAAUCUCCAAGUUUUGGUCUCUCCCUCAACUUUUUGGACUACAAAUAGGAAUGUGGGAUGAUCAACACUCAUGAAAUUGCAAGAAAAUUGCUAAAAACUCCCGUUUCAAUUUUAGAAAUAAUUCAUUUUUGUAAUUUAAAUAAUAUAUAAAUAAUAAAUCUACCUAGAUGAUUUUAUAUCAUCAUAUCAUAUUUCACUUCAUAUAAUGUCACGUUAUCAUCUUUUGAGUCUAGAAAUUUGAAUAAAAAACUAAAACUGAGAGAUUUUAACAUGCAGAGAUUUUUGUUUCUAGAAAUGUUGCACACCAUGAAUGCAUUUUUUCCUAGUAAUCUAGUACAUCUAUUGUUCCACUUCCAUGGGAGUGCCAUAGAAAUAUCAGCCAAAACCUGAAUCUAAUGUCAUUAUGAAUCCAUUUCCAACACUGAAAAAGUGAAACUGUAUCCCCUACACAAAGUAACUCCUCUUCUUGUGAUUUUAAUUCUGACAAUUCUUUUUCUUCAACUACAUUACCCAUUUUACAUAAAUCCACAAGAAUUAAGUCUCCACCAACUUAUUUGGCAGAUUAUGUGUGUAAUAAUAAUUCUUCUUCUCGAUCACCAGAAUCUACCAACUCAGGUAUUCCCUGCCCUAAUGCAUCUUUUCGCCCAUUUGAUCAUUUAUCUCCAUCACAUAUAUCAUUUUCUAUUUCUGUCACAAAAAGUACUAAGCCUAAAACUUAUAGAGAAGCAUGUCAGUCUAAACAUUGGUUAGAAUCUAUGAAUGUUGAAUUGGAAGCUUUAGCUAAGAAUGGUUCUUGGUAGUAAGUGGGUGUAUAAGGUAAAGCACAAAGCAAAUGGUUCUAUUGAAAGAUAUAAAGCAAGAUUAGUAUGUGUUGAUUAUAGAAGAUCAACUACAGGUUUUUGCUUCCUUUUAGAAUCUUCUCUCAUAUCAUGACUGCUAAGAAACAACGGACAAUAUCAAGAUCAUCUUAAGAGGAUGAGUAUAGAACAUUGUUUACUGCUACUAUAUCUUCUAAAGAAUUUUAACAUCAAAUGCACCAGACAACAUGUCUUGUACUGUGACAGCCAGAGUGCAAUUCACAUAGCUUUUAAUCCAAUUUUUUAUGAAAGGACAAAGCACUUAGAGAUAGACUUCCACUUGGUUAGAGAGAAAAUUCAAAAAGGAAUGCCCAAGCUUCUACCUAUUUCUACUGAUGAAGAGCUAGCAGAUUUCCUAACAAAAGCAUCACCUCCUCCAAAAUUCAAUUCAUUCAUUUCCAAGCUUGGUAUAUUAAACAUUUAUCAUACUCCAGCUUGUGGGAGGCUGCUAAAGCAUAACACAAAAUCAUUGGAAGCUAGUUUAUUGUAUAGUGAAGAAGAAUAGCACCAUACACAUCAGUAACUUGCGCCGCAAGCAAUUGGACCUUAAGACUGUUUUAGACUUAGCAAAUCAAUUGUAACUACUUUGCUUAUGUUUAUGGAAGUUAGUUAUGAUUGAGUGAGAUGAAGAUCACAAUAGCUUAUCUUGAUCUCUCACUGAAAUGUGUAAUUGCUUCUAUUGCAAGUAAAUGUGAAAUAGUGGUUUAUUGAACCAAUUCUCUUACCUUUUCUCUUGUUUUCAAUUGUUUUAUCUCAUUUUCAACCAAUUCUCUAUUACCUCAACAACAACCACACUGAAGGAGGCGUGAGAUUCUCCUUUGAAGUACUACAUUAGUGGCGAGAAGGUGAAUAUAGUGAAACUCCAGCCUCUUAGGUGACCAUUUAAGUUGUUACUAACAAGGCCACAAAGAAGGUUUCUACUUAUUUCACUCAAGUGCUUGACUAGAGGAGCACAAGUGGAGAAGCUAUAACCGAUCGGAUGAUUGUAGAGAAAAUCAUCUGAAGUUUGCCUAGAGAAUAUGAUCACGUUGUUGCGGCCAUUGGAGAGUAAAAAAUUUUGGAGGAUAUGAAGAGCUCCAAAGCUCUUUGAAAUCACAUGAAAAGGGUUUAGGAUUUUACAAAAAGAUCCGCUUCAAGAACUGGAGACCAAGCCUUGCGUGUACUUAUGUCAAAGCGAGGUGGUGAUGAGAACAGUAAAGGAAAAAGGAACAAAUGGAAGGAAAUGAAUUCCAAUAAAAAGGAGUAAAAAUCAAAGGAAGUAACUCAUACAAGGCUGAUCGAGAUUAAACUGAAUGUCCCUCCAAGAACGGUUGCUUGAAUAGGGGUGGAAGGUUCAAUGUUUCAAAUGCAACAUGUUUGGUCAUUUUGUUGAUAGAUGUUAAAACAGCAAGAAUCAACAAAGCAAACCAGAUAAAGAAGCAGAAAUGGCACAUGAAGAAGACUGAUUCCGAUUGAAUGAUAUUAACAUGAUAAUCGUAAAUAUAACAAACAUAUAUCAUAGAAAUGUGCAGCUGAGAUUGGACUGACAGGAGAGUAUGAGAGUGGUACUGUGGUAGUAUAGUGAAGACUUUUUAAGGUCUUUUUUAGGCAAAGAAAUAAAAUGUGAAUGCGUUAAUGAUUGGAAUUAUUUGGAAGCUUGAAACAAACAAAUGGAAAACAUUAAUUUCUGGAAUUAAAUGUGCAGUACUUAUGGAACUUUUAUUUAAAAGAAAUAAAAUGAUUGAUGAUCUCAUGUUUUUUUGUGUGUCAAUUAUGCCAUUUUUAUUUCCUAUAUACCAAUCAUAAUUCUAUUAUUCUCACUAAAAUUCAUAUUGGAAAAAACGCAAAUUCAACAUCAAAAAUAGAAAAUGUCUAAAAAAGUUUAUAAAGAGUUGCAUUUUUCACUUAGAUAUAACAUUAUAAUCUAUCUAUUCUAGACACCCACCAAUUUAUCUACGCACACCAAGCUCAAUAAUGUUGGUAGUGAGGGCCGGAGUGUACCGAAAAACCCAACAAAUAUAUAUAAAAAAAUAAAUAAAAAAAACUAGUAUAUCAAUAUACUUUUUAACGUAACUUUACACAUGACCCAUCAACAUGAUGAAAUAUGUGUUCAAUGUUCACACAAGAGCAAUCUCUAUUAUAACUUCACUCUCCUUAAUUCCUUUAAUGUGUCCAACAUAAAGAUCAGUCCCAUAUGAAUCAGAUUUUGAAAGCCUUGGUUUACCACCAUCAGACAUACUCACAACAAAGUCCACAAAUUGCCUCCAAUUUUCACCCUCAAGCAACCUCUUAUUUAUUCUUAAAUAAGUAAAAGCACUUAAUCCACUUGUAGACAAAACUUGACCAUAAGCACUUGAAUCAUAUCUCUCCAAUGCAUUCUCACCAGCAAGUUCACCACCUGCAAUCUUUGUUGCCAUCUUCACUUGAUUCACCAAUCCUUCUGGUGAACAAUUAGCAUGGCCAGGUUGUUCAUUAUCCUUCAUUUCCAUGCAUGUGAAAUUCAAUAUAACUCCAUGUUUUGCUAGCAUUUGUGCUAUUGGUAUAUAACCAUCAUGAAACCUUGUGUUAUAGUAACCUGCAGUUAAUUCAGUUGCAUGUGAUCUUGCAUUGUAAUGCCAAUGAAUUCCAGCUAUUUUGGCAGAUAGUUUCACUCCACUUGUUUGGAAUAUGC